GUGAAUCAUCGAAUUUUUGAACGCAAAUUGCACUCUCUUCGGAGAGUAUGCCUGUUUGAGGGUCAGUAUUAAUAAAAAUCGGUGUGUUGCUUCUUUGUGACGCUCCGGAGUUUGGGUCAUCUUAAUAUCCUUUAGGUUUUAAGAGGCUUAAAAUUGACUUUUUUUCGGAUUUUUGGUUGACAUUAAUUUUUUUUUUUUUUUGGUUUGCUUUAU
Molecule: unclassified non-coding RNA, 213 nt
Filed under: Rhizophagus sp. (in: glomeromycetes)
Lineage: Eukaryota; Fungi; Glomeromycota; Glomeromycetes; Glomerales; Glomeraceae
Description: partial contains 5.8S ribosomal RNA and internal transcribed spacer 2
Rfam family: 5.8S ribosomal RNA (bases 1-65)
Source: RNAcentral